Molecule: long non-coding RNA, 2254 nt
Organism: Sus scrofa (pig)
Lineage: Eukaryota; Metazoa; Chordata; Mammalia; Artiodactyla; Suidae
Source: RefSeq, a predicted model, not a curated record
GGAGUUAACCCUUAGUGCCCCUCAGCAUGCAGUGUUGUCUUUAUCUGGGUGGAAAUCCUGUGCCUGUGACCAGCGAGAACUGGGUCUCAACAGCUAUCAUAUCAUCAUGGGGUAAUUUCAAUUCAGUCAUUUUCCUCCCCUGAAUCAAAAAUAUUGGCUACUUCUGCUAUUCUUCAUAUAAGGAAUUAAUGAGGAAAAGAGUAGGAAAAAAUUAUGGAGUACCAUAAAAUGCAGCAGCUGAAUUUUCCCCCAGUAGCCAGCCACUAGGAUAAACAGAUUAUCAUAACUAUCUACUUUCACCAUCCAAUUCCAUGCUCCCUUAGUUAUUGCAGGUCUUUCAGCUAGAUGAGGAUUUUUCUGCCUGAUGGGAGAUGAAAUUUCAUUCUUCUUUUUUAUGAAUAGGCCCUCGUACCUUCGGUCCAGGUUAUGCAUUAUGAGCCCACUGAAGGGUGUAAGUGGGAAGAAGGGUGUAUUUGCUUAUGAGGCAAGGGUGGCCCAGGAGAAUUUGGAGAUUCAUAGUCCUUAACUUCAUCUAUAUCUACCAAAAUAUCCCAUUCAAUGAGGCAUGGUUCCAUUGUUUCCUGAUAAUUGCCUUUCUGUUAGCAUAGUAGAUCUGGUGGAUCUGAUUUAUAAUUAGUUCUAUGAAUCUACAACCUUUACAAUCAUGCUGUGAGCUUGAUCACCAGCUAUAUUUUCUGCACGAGUAUAGGAGAGGGGGUGCCUUCAAAGUUAUUCAGAAAACUUUCUGACUCUGCACAUUUGUAAUUUUAUGUUCAUAUUUUUAAUUAUUUUGCCUUAUCGAUAUUCUGUGGGACUGUCGAAAGAAACUAAUGACUUUAAAAUCUUAAUUGUCAGAGCAGCUGUGUGUCACAGCCACUUGAUCUCUGCAAACUCUCAUCUCAUGCAACCACAGUGUUAACUUGAAUGUUUACAAUGCUACAGUAUGCCAAGCACUACUGCUACUCUAUCUCUCUCGCACUCCCAGCAAAAAGGUUAUCCCUGUACUCCUCAAAUAUAUAAUGUGCUAAGCCCAGAGUCUCGGUUCAAGGAGUCUAUUUCCUGGGGCCACUUCUGCUACCAACUAAUGUAUCAGCAGAGUUUCCAGCAGAAAAGAAAUCAUUAGAUGAGUAUUUAUUUAAAAAGUGAUAGAUAAUAAAAGUUUGCCUGGGGUAAAAGCAAAUCACCACAAAUAGGGCAGGAAUGGGGGCCAACAGCAGUGAGAUGUUACCUCUCUUCAUGCCAAAGGACUGAGGAAUGGAGCCUGGAAAAAAUAAAGUCCCAGACUUACCUGGAAGCCAGAGUACACCAGGUCCUGUUCGUGUAGCGUCUGCCACCCAUCUGUGAGGCAGAGGGCAAAUGGAAACAGAAGGAGAAUGGCUCUGGAGGGUCACCUGCAGCAAAAUGCAGAAAAAACUGAUAGCAGGAAGAAAGAGCUGGAGGCCACAGACCACGAGAUUGGGAUGGUCACUGCCUGGAGGACUGCUCAAAGAGAUUGGCUGCAAAGGGUCAUAGCUGAGGUUUUCUUCUCCCAAAAGAGAGCAGAGGCUAGCAUAAGGAUUAAUUCUCUUAUUUUCAGAAAUAACCAGAGGUCUUUGAGUAUCUUUGAUCACAAGAAAGGACUGGACCAAAGUUAAGUUUUUUAAUUUGCACAAAUAAAAAAAUGAAACCUUAUUUUAUUUCCAAAUUUUUCUAAAACCAGACAUGGCUUAUUCAUACAUAGAAAUUCUGAAGGGUGUCCACCAAUAUGUUAAUAUUGGUUCUCUAUGGGUCAGGGGGGAUUAUAGGUUAUUUUAUUAUUUUCUUUAAUCUUUUUUCCCUGAUCUUUCAACAGUAGAUUCUUGUUAUUUUACUCUUUCACUCAUCUUUAUCAUUUUCCCCCAUGAUAUUUCAACAGAGAUUAUAUUUUAUUUUAAAAUUAAUACUUAAAAAAUACUCCAUUUUAAAGUAUUUUCUUAUGUAUUAAUGUUCCAAAAUCAUCCUAGGAGAGGACAAAUUUUUACUAUUUAUUUUCAGAUUACUUAUGAACAAAAAGUUGAAAGAAAGAAGGAUCAGUAAGCUAGCUCUCUUGUUUCUCCUGUAAACAUUUUCUUUUAUUUUAUUCCUUCAAGAAAAUAAAUUUUAAAAAAAAUUAAAGGAAUGUCCAUAUACAGACUAGGAAAUAAUGUUCUUAUGUAACCAAAUACAUCAUUAACAAAUGCAGAAGUUACCAUCGUUGCUAAAAGAAAUACGAGCUUUUUUUCUUGGAAAAAAAAAA